UCCUCCAUGACAUCAUCUUCAGGCCUUCCUCCAUGACAUCGUGUUCAGGCCUUCCUCCAUGACAUCGUGUUCAGGCAUUCCUCCAUGACAUCGUCUUCAGUCCUUCCUCCAUGACAUCAUCUUCAGGCCUUCCUCUAUGACAUCGUCUUCAGGCCUUCCUCCAUGACAUCGUGUUCAGGCCUUCCUCUAUGACAUCGUCUUCAGGCCUUCCUCCAUGACAUCGUCUUCAGGCCUUCCUCUAUGACAUCAUCUUCAGGCCUUCCUCUAUGACAUCGUCUUCAGGCCUUCCUCUAUGACAUCGUCUUCAGGCCUUCCUCCAUGACAUCGCUCACAGAGGACGCCUCAUCUGCAAACACACGGUUCAGAACGUCUUCCAUGCUCUCUUGAGAGGUCAGGGUCUUGAAGGCAAAC
RNAcentral lists this long non-coding RNA (411 nucleotides) under Salmo salar (Atlantic salmon). RNAcentral's name for it is "lncRNA (ENSSSAG00000092431.1)". Lineage: Eukaryota; Metazoa; Chordata; Actinopteri; Salmoniformes; Salmonidae. The record is from RNAcentral.